GCAAGACUAACUCACGGGCAAAUUUGAAUGCUGUAAGAACAAAAUUGUCAUGAAAAACAUGUGAGGAGAAAUCAUCCAGUGGUUCGCCUCCGGAGGCCCUGUGAGCCGUCGGGAGCAAGUCAGUCGCUCGCUUCCUUGGGUCGGCAUCGUACAAGACGCACCGCCUACACAAUCGAUUAUCGAACCUAAAAUCGAUUUGGAUCGAAUUCACCAUCGAUUUCGUCAUCGUCACCGUGUCGUCACAUCACCGACUUCACGGACCAUCACGUCAACUGUAUUGUCAUCCGGCACUGCAGGCACCUUCUGUCGGCGUCGAACCCACCAGUAACCUCCAGCUCAACAUCGUUUAUUUUGGAUGUUUGGAAAAGCGAGUCGUCAUCCAGCAAAGUACCUUUUUUCUUUUUAUAAUUUUACUUUAUUUUUAUUUAUUUAUUUUUUUUUUGGUAAAACCCUGGCCACUAAGGAUGAUUAGGAAUUUUGAAUAUAAUUGAGGAAAUUUCAUUUAAUUUUUCUGUGUGUAAAUAAAUUGUAAAUAUUUAA
Molecule: long non-coding RNA, 540 nt
Organism: Cimex lectularius (bed bug)
Lineage: Eukaryota; Metazoa; Arthropoda; Insecta; Hemiptera; Cimicidae
Exons: 2
Source: RefSeq, a predicted model, not a curated record